This 64-nucleotide transfer RNA is filed under the name Metaphire riukiuensis. RNAcentral describes it as "tRNA-Cys". The record is from RNAcentral. Lineage: Eukaryota; Metazoa; Annelida; Clitellata; Crassiclitellata; Megascolecidae.
AGCACCAUAGUUGAGCAACAACAUUAAACUGCAGAUUUAAAGGAGUAUUUUGAUACUAGUGCUU